UCGUCUGACACGUUGACGGUGGUUGGCUACUUGUACUUGGUCUUCAUGUUAUGUAAGAAAGGAUCCCAACUGGGCAGAUUGAGUGGCGAUUUCAUCAAGAGUUGUGACGAGCCUGGAUUUCUAAAGGGCGAUAAGUUUUUCGAACACAAGCGCCUUUUCUGGGUAAAUUCGAGGAACGUUAAGAUGAAACAGAUUUGGAUAGAGACGGACUACUUUAGGGUUAAUCUUGGCCUUAUUGCACCGAUCGUAGGAACCGUGACGACAAACUUGAUUGUGUUGAUGCAGUUUCAGAACAGCGACAAGACAUGAAAAAUUUAGACAAAAAUUCAAAUAAAAAAAAUUAUUAUCGCAUAAUACCUUAGUUACUUUAGAAGGCAAAGAUUUUAGCCUAGUCUUGUAUUUAUUUUACUUGAGCCUAUUAAUCAUUUCAAUUGUUAAGUCACUAUGAUACGAGUAAUUCCAAAGCAAAAUGUAAAUCCAUUAAUGUAAUGAAACAUUUCAAUUAUUAAAGUCUAUGUCUCGCCAAA
Folsomia candida is the source of this 527-nucleotide long non-coding RNA. RefSeq lists it as uncharacterized. NCBI's taxonomy places the organism in Eukaryota, Metazoa, Arthropoda, Collembola, Entomobryomorpha, Isotomidae. The transcript has 2 exons. The record is from RefSeq and is a predicted model, not a curated record.